RNAcentral lists this ribosomal RNA (253 nucleotides) under uncultured bacterium. RNAcentral describes it as "partial 16S ribosomal RNA". It matches the Rfam family "Bacterial small subunit ribosomal RNA", at positions 524 to 776 of the family's 1533-position model. The record is from RNAcentral.
UACGAAGGGGGCUAGCGUUGCUCGGAAUCACUGGGCGUAAAGCGCACGUAGGCGGAUUGCUAAGUCAGGGGUGAAAUCCUGGAGCUCAACUCCAGAACUGCCCUUGAUACUGGCGGUCUCGAGUCCGGGAGAGGUGAGUGGAACUGCGAGUGUAGAGGUGAAAUUCGUAGAUAUUCGCAAGAACACCAGUGGCGAAGGCGGCUACCUGGCCCACUCUUGACGCUGAGGCGCGAAAGCUAGGGGAGCAAACGGG